Odocoileus virginianus texanus is the source of this 732-nucleotide long non-coding RNA. RefSeq lists it as uncharacterized. The record is from RefSeq and is a predicted model, not a curated record. Lineage: Eukaryota; Metazoa; Chordata; Mammalia; Artiodactyla; Cervidae.
GCCUGCCCGCCGACGCCCAGCGCCCGGCCGGGACCCGGGUCAGGAUGGACAGGGAAAAGCACCUUCCUUACGCAAAAAGUAUCGACUCGUUUCUGCUCUUCAGCAUUGUGGAGAAGGUUCUUUAACAGCUGCAGAAAAAUCAAGAAGACCCACAGGCAAAUUUCGAAGAACACACAGCUAAUUUACAAACAAGGGGGAAACAGAACUUUGAGAAACUCAGCGGCUCCAAAAACUGCAGUAGAAGGGAAACAAUUCAGAAAGAGGCCUCCGCGACUUUCAGAGAGCGCGUGCCUUGUUCGGCCUCCUACGCAGAAACCCACAGCAGAAUGUGUGUGCGGCGAACACGUGGCUGCGCUGCCCUUGCUUCCCCGAGUCCUUCCGCGCACAGGAGGGUCCCAUCGCGCCCAGGAGGGCCCCUCAGCCCGGCUCCUUCGUGAUGCCCAGGGAUCUCAAGAUGGAGCAUGUCGGAGAAGCAAGUAGUCAUCACAAGGCCCCUGGGACCACGGAGGAACCACUGCAGAAGGUAAGGAACAGCCUAGAAAGUCCUAGAAUAAAGGCACAGCACGAUGGGAUGGACAUGGGUGGCGGGGGGUGGGUUGAGAGUAUGGAGAAAUGGUUACAUGGGCCCAAGGAGUCUGUCUUUUUUUGGGGGGGAGACGCCUAUGUGCGCUGCUUGCUCAUCAUAUUUGUGAAUAACUUUGAAAAUCAUCGGUAAAAGAAAGAAAGAAAGAA